Molecule: non-coding RNA, 1183 nt
Organism: Cyanistes caeruleus (blue tit)
Lineage: Eukaryota; Metazoa; Chordata; Aves; Passeriformes; Paridae
Source: RefSeq, a predicted model, not a curated record
UGUUCCCUUCAACUGAGAGAUGGAAGAAAUGGGCUCUGAACCAGUUGCUCCUCAUGAUUUCAAGAAGCUAACCCUGAAAAUGUGCAGCAUUGUACAGGAUCAGGAUGAAAUCUUGACCCUAUUGAUAUUAAUGGACACAAUAAUUUACAUCAACAAGACAAGAAGAUUUUCACUCCUUGGGAAACAAGCUAAUCCUGUUACAGGAAGAGUGAUUAAACUGCAUGAUUAAGGCUAUGGCACCUGGAAAAGAAGCAAAUACACAGUGUGCCUGCAAUUCAAAUUCUUUCAUCUAUGUAUACUCCCUCCCUGGAGCUGGCAGCUGCUACAGGAAACACUGGAGAAAAGGGCAAAAAUGAGAAAUUUCUGCUUGUUCUACUGCCACCAGCUGCCAAUCCCCUGAGCUGCUAAAGGCCAACCCACCUGCUCCAUGUUCCUUCUCACCAGCUAGCGGUAAAAAACACCACUAGGAAAAUGAUGUUUUCAUGCUACAGAAACCAGCAAACCAGAAGAAAAGCAAGGAACAGCUGCUGCCUUGAGAAACCUCAGCCUGCGCUCCAGGCUGAGCACUCAUCCCAGCCACAGACUGCAGAGCAAAGCAGGAGCAACAAAAGUGAAUUGCUCAAGGGAGUGCAAAAGUUUGAGCAUGAGGCAAAUGAAGCAUGAAAAACGAAGCAGUGAACCAAACAAUUAUUCACCACUACAAGAAAAUCCAUUAAAGAAAAACAAAGCCAUCUACAAUAGCGCAGCUGAGGGAGGUAGAGAUGAAAGCAUGGAAAACAAUCCCCCCCUGAAAAGCUAUCUUGAAAUUCUUGGAGUAAGGAAGAAAAGUAGGAGAACAGAGAGGGGGAAAAGGAAUGGGGGAAGGUAAAAUAUCAAAAUGUAAAUUAGUAAGCUUCAUCAGAGAACUCUUUCCAAGACAUGCAAGGAAAAGACUAAACAAGAGCUACUGCUUCUCUGGGCAUAGUGCCAUCUCAUCACAUGCAAGGAGAGAAUCUCAGAUAACUGAGGUAGAAUAACAAAUGAUCAUGGAAAUGGUAGGGUGAAUGGUGAAAAAAGGGGGUUUUGCCCUAUAAUCACAUUCAAGAUAUUGUACAUUCAUCAUCACUGUGUAGUUUUGUGAGGGUUUAAUUAGCAAUGAAUGUAAUUGAGGUCAGUUUACUGUGUUACUCUGUUACUAAGUAAA